CUUAAUUAUCCAGAUUUUAAUUUAAGACAAUUUAAGACUUUUUAAGGACCCGCGGGAACCCUGGAGACUCGUAGCUUUACAAAGGGAAAUGGAUGUGUUAGCAGCUCAUAUGUGGAGCAUCUUUUGCUGGAGUGGAGAGUAAACAGCUGGUCUGAAGUUCAUGUUCAGGUCCAGGAGGAGAAAAAAGGUCAGGCGGUUUACUUUUGCUGUUUUUGCAGCUAUAGCUGCACAGCUGCACCAAGAGAUGUGUGGGCAGAAGAGAGAAGCACAUAGCGCAUGGAUCGGAUAAGUAUCCAUUUUAGGACCACAUAUGAAAGUGAUUCAAAUCUGAUCUAAAACAAAAUUACAUAAAAUCAGAUCUGAGCCAUAUUAAGCAAAAAAUCACAUUUGAGUCCCUUCAACCUGGUAAUGUGAACGUAGCCUAUGUUUUAGAUGCAAUUUAACCAGCCAUAUAAGUUAAUAGUGCAAAGCAAAAUAAAUCACAAAAAAAGUGUUGAAAAACUGUAUCAGACGCUGAAGUGAAUAUAUCACUCUUUAUGGGUGCUGUACUCACAUGAAUGAACAGAUAAUUGUCAGUCAUCUUCAGUGUAAAUAAAUAAUAACUGGAAUAAUUGACAGCCUCUGUAAAACAAACCCCUUCGUUUAAAUACUUUUUAAAAAUUGUUUGAUUGUAGACACAGUGGUUUCACCUUGCCUCUCCUCAGGUAAGGUAAGGUGAUAUUUUGAGAUUGCUUUUUACUGAAACACCAAAACCCAUAUGUAUUCAUGGAACUACUUAAUAAUACUCCUUAAAAUGUAAUAGUUUUAAAAAGUUGAUUUAAAUUAUUGCACUGUUUACCUAAAAACAUUUACAAGUUAAACCAAUGUAUACUGUUAGAUAGUCAUUUGUUAAAUGUUCAUUCUUAAGGACAAUGAAGAAACAAAGAGAAAAGCUCCCCCCAAGCUGACAAGCACUCAGAACUGACCUGAAUCUUCAUGUCCAAUAAAAUGGAUCAGAAGACCCGUGAUCUCACUGUGGUGCUGUUUGGGAACAGCUCUGCAGUGCACUUUGGAGAUGAGAACAUCCUGCUUGGGAAAACCCCGACAGGCAAUGCUGAUUUCUCACAGACUGUUCCAGAACCAAGGAAGAUAUCAGGACACAGAGUGAAUGUAAUCAACAUACUGGACCUGCAGGAAAAUGAACUUUACCUGGACUCGGUGGAUCAGACCAUUGACCGUUUGGUCCGUGAAAAUGAAAUCCAUUCCUUCAUCUUCGUACUUCAACUGGGACAGUUAACAGACAGUGUUAAGGGGGGAAUAGAAUGGCUUCAGAACUUGUUUGGUGAAGAUGUUCUACCAUUCACGAUUAUCCUCU
Molecule: long non-coding RNA, 1354 nt
Filed under: Astyanax mexicanus (Mexican tetra)
Lineage: Eukaryota; Metazoa; Chordata; Actinopteri; Characiformes; Acestrorhamphidae
Description: lncRNA (ENSAMXG00005001919.1)
Source: RNAcentral